Molecule: ribosomal RNA, 150 nt
Filed under: uncultured Acidocella sp.
Lineage: Bacteria; Pseudomonadati; Pseudomonadota; Alphaproteobacteria; Acetobacterales; Acidocellaceae
Description: partial 16S ribosomal RNA
Rfam family: Bacterial small subunit ribosomal RNA
Source: RNAcentral
UAAUACGGUCAGGCUAGAGUGUGGAAGAGGGUCGUGGAAUUCCCAGUGUAGAGGUGAAAUUCGUAGAUAUUGGGAAGAACACCGGUGGCGAAGGCGGCGACCUGGUCCAUUACUGACGCUGAGGCGCGAAAGCGUGGGGAGCAAACAGGA